Hylaeus anthracinus is the source of this 344-nucleotide long non-coding RNA. RefSeq lists it as uncharacterized. Lineage: Eukaryota; Metazoa; Arthropoda; Insecta; Hymenoptera; Colletidae. The record is from RefSeq and is a predicted model, not a curated record. The transcript has 3 exons.
GGGAUGAAGACCACGUAGGGGAUGGAAUUGCCAGAGAAGAUAUCGCAAUGGUUACAGGGAACGUCCAAGUUUGUCUGUACAGUGUCUUCGAGUCUGGGGAUGCAGUGCGAUAAAACUGGGGCACUCUUGAAGAAAGGAAUAGCGAAAACUAGAAGGCAGAUGAAGAACGGAAAAAGAACAAGAAAACACGCAAUAUUUAAAAAUCGCUGUAUUGAGAUACACUACUCUUCAUGAAGUGAGAUUAUUUCACGAUUGCAGCUUGGACAUUGCGAAGCAAGGACACGCUGUGAAGUCAUCAUUACAUCCAUACGUCUGUGGCACCGGACAAUAAAUAAAUAAAUAAA